UGGAAAAUGUAUGGACAUCGGUUGUGGUCCCGGAGAUAUAACGAAAAAUGUUCUCUUGCCGGCUUUAAAUCCAAAUGCGGUAAUAAUAGGUACCGAUAUUUCGAAGGAUAUGAUCGAGUUUGCGAAGAAAACAUACGAUUUGAUCAUAUACUCUCAUUUAACGCUUUAAAUUGGUGUUAUGACAUUCGGUAAGUUAAAAUUAUUAAUAAUCAGGUGGAAAACUGACAGAAAAGAGCCAAGGUAUCGGCUGGUAUUGGAGUGCGAAUUUAUUAUUAUUAAAUCUUAUUAACUAAUGUGCAUUAAAAAUGUACGUUUCGGACCGUUUAAAAAAGAAAAUUUAAGUAAAUAUAAACUAGGCUUGCCCAACCUAUCAAUCGCGAUCGACCGGUCGAUCGCAGCGUGAUUUCUACCCAGUUAUUGUACAAAUAUAUAAUAUAAUAUAAGUUGAUGUGACAUUGAACUAACGUCGAAAACCAAAUGUUGAAGUGAAGUUGAAAUUCUGUUUGAAUCAAUAUCGAAAUGAUACAAAUUUUUGACGAUUCUUCGGCUAUCAUUUUGAUAUAAUUUCAACAUUGAAUCAACCACAAUUAAUUAUAUCUUAAUACUUCGCAAAUUAAAGUUGCAAAGUAUUGCAACUUUAUACAGAGUGUCUCUGAACUCAUUGUCAGUGCCAAAACUGGUACAACGGCUUUAGCACAUGAAAACAAGUCGACAAUGUUUAAUAAACAUAUGUUCGCGAAACUUCAAACAUUUUUCAAAAAGCUUGAAACAAUUUAUUAAUUCAUGCUAGAAAGUAUGUCGAAGUCGACAGAGGAAUUUUUGAGCACCUUUUGUAAAGCUUUAAACAGAAUAAGGCUGAUGGCAGAGAAUGAGAUGUUUAAGCGUUUACGGCUGUCGUAGUCGUAAAAGUAAGACAGAGAAAAACGUAAGUUGUCAUCAUGAAGGAAGAGUAAGGAGAGUUAUCUCGAUAGUGUAG
This is a long non-coding RNA of Formica exsecta, 976 nucleotides long. RefSeq lists it as uncharacterized. The record is from RefSeq and is a predicted model, not a curated record. Lineage: Eukaryota; Metazoa; Arthropoda; Insecta; Hymenoptera; Formicidae. The transcript has 3 exons.